This 981-nucleotide long non-coding RNA is filed under the name Nicotiana benthamiana. RNAcentral describes it as "long non-coding RNA (NBEN_LNC006433)". The record is from RNAcentral. Lineage: Eukaryota; Viridiplantae; Streptophyta; Magnoliopsida; Solanales; Solanaceae.
GUUGUUCCUACAUAGUCGAUUGGGUUUCUGAUUGUUCCUGGAUAGUCGAUUGGGUUUCUAAUUGUUUUGUUCAUCUUGAAUAUUCAUAUAAUCCUGAAGUUAUUGUAGUUGUCUACUUGAAUCCAUGAAGUGCAUUGUUUUGGUCCUUAAAUUCUUUGAGUAGCCACUUCUACAUAAUUGAGCCUAUAGCUUAGAUUUAGAAACCAAGGGUACAUAUCUUAGGUUAGUUGAAUAGGAAAAGGGACAGGGGUAUAGAGGGUAUUUGAACCUAAACGAAUCCUGUAAUAACCCCUAGAACAUUCUAGUGAGGGGUGUAAGCAUAAUUUCAGCCUCAAACUUGAGGCACAAGUUAGAAAACUAAGGACUAUUUAGGUAAAAAUGAAAAUUGAGUAAGGGAUUAAAAGGAAAAGAAGAAAAUGGGUGUUGCCCUAAGGCUUCAACUAUAAAAGGGGGCAAUCUGAACAUUUGAAGAGGACUUUUUGAUAUUUUCGAGCAGAACAUUUCAUUAAAUCUUUGUAGUGAAUUAGAAUACAAAAAAUACAUAUUAGUUUCUUCUACAUUCUUCAGAAAUCAUUAGUGCUGUUCUAUUCCUGCUGAAUUUUCCUUGAUGACAAGUUGAGCAUAUUGAGUUGCUUUGAAGAUCAACUACUAUUGUUUGCUUUGCUCAAAACCUUCAUGAAUCUCUGGGUGAUUAUUGGUUGACUGGCUGUUGUGUGCUUGCUAUUUGCUCCAUUUGCUCAUAGGUUUCCUUUCAGUUGACACUACAGGCACAAAUCCUUACUCAAAAUUGGAGCUAUACCCCUUUACACUUGACUUUGUAGCUGUUCAUGAAGAAAUUAGCAUUUUGUUUCAAUACUUAUACGAUGACGGUUAGUUAUUAUAGUAAUAUUUUUGCAUUUUAAUGAAUUUUAAUAUGUACUAACUAUGGAAUGUAUUGAGAUUAUUUCUUUAGUUCGUCAAAGUUUUCAGUAUGUUUUAGAG